UUGACGGGGCCCGCACAAGCGGUGGAGUAUGUGGUUUAAUUCGAUGAUACACGAAGAACCUUACCAAGGUUUGACAUGCAAGUGGUAGUGAACUGAAAAGGGAACGACCCUUCGGGGAGCUUGCACAGGUGCUGCAUGGCUGUCGUCAGCUCGUGUCGUGAGAUGUUCGGUUAAGUCCGCUAACGAGCGCAACCCUCACUGUGUGUUAUACGUGUCACACGGGACCGCCGGUUUUAAGCCGGAGGAAGGUGGGAUGACGUCAAGUCAGCAUGGCCUUUAUAUCUUGGGCCACACACACGCUACAAUGGCCAGUACAAUGGGAUGCCAAGCCGCAAGGCGGAGCCAACCCUAAAAGCUGGUCUCAGUUCGGAUUGGAGUCUGCAACUCGACUCCAUGAAGUUGGAAUCGCUAGUAAUGGCAGGUCAGCAUACUGCCGUGAAUACGUUCCCGGGCCUU
RNAcentral lists this ribosomal RNA (456 nucleotides) under uncultured Anaerolineaceae bacterium. Its description in RNAcentral is "bacterial SSU rRNA". It matches the Rfam family "Bacterial small subunit ribosomal RNA", at positions 910 to 1382 of the family's 1533-position model. Lineage: Bacteria; Bacillati; Chloroflexota; Anaerolineae; Anaerolineales; Anaerolineaceae. The record is from RNAcentral.